GACGAACGCUGGCGGCGUGCCUAAUACAUGCAAGUCGAACGCAGUGGGGACGGGUGAGUAACACGUGGGUAACCUCCCAUCAGUGGGGAUAACACUUGGAAAUAGUCGCUAAACCGAUAUUGAUGGAUGUACCCGCGGUGAAGUAGCUCGUUGGUGAGGUAACGGCUCACCAAGGCCACGAGGCAUAGACGACAGGUGCGGGUGAUCUGCCACACUGGGACUGAGGCACGGUACAGACUCCGAAGGGAGGCAGCAGUAGGGAAUCGUGCGAAAUGGACGAAAGUCAGACCGAGCAACUCCGCGUGAGCGAAGAAGGUUUUCGGAUCGUAAAUCUAUAUUGUUAGCGAAGCGGUAUCUAACCAGAAAGCCACGGCUAACUACGUGCCAGCCGCCGCGGUAAUAC
RNAcentral lists this ribosomal RNA (403 nucleotides) under uncultured bacterium. RNAcentral describes it as "partial 16S ribosomal RNA". It matches the Rfam family "Bacterial small subunit ribosomal RNA", at positions 28 to 526 of the family's 1533-position model. The record is from RNAcentral.